RNAcentral lists this ribosomal RNA (497 nucleotides) under uncultured bacterium. RNAcentral's name for it is "partial 16S ribosomal RNA". It matches the Rfam family "Bacterial small subunit ribosomal RNA", at positions 28 to 507 of the family's 1533-position model. The record is from RNAcentral.
GAUGAACGCUGGCGGCGUGCCUAAUACAUGCAAGUCGAGCGAACAGACGAGGAGCUUGCUCCUCUGACGUUAGCGGCGGACGGGUGAGUAACACGUGGAUAACCUACCUAUAAGACUGGGAUAACUUCGGGAAACCGGAGCUAAUACCGGAUAAUAUAUUGAACCGCAUGGUUCAAUAGUGAAAGACGGUUUUGCUGUCACUUAUAGAUGGAUCCGCGCCGCAUUAGCUAGUUGGUAAGGUAACGGCUUACCAAGGCAACGAUGCGUAGCCGACCUGAGAGGGUGAUCGGCCACACUGGAACUGAGACACGGUCCAGACUCCUACGGGAGGCAGCAGUAGGGAAUCUUCCGCAAUGGGCGAAAGCCUGACGGAGCAAAGCCGCGUGAAUGAUGAAGGUCUUCGGAUCGUAAAACUCUGUUAUUAGGGAAGAACAAAUGUGUAAGUAACUAUGAACGUCUUGACGGUACCUAAUCAGAAAGCCACGGCUAACUACGUG